This is an RNA transcript of Ostrea edulis (European flat oyster), 2621 nucleotides long. RefSeq lists it as uncharacterized. The record is from RefSeq and is a predicted model, not a curated record. The transcript is spliced from 7 exons. Lineage: Eukaryota; Metazoa; Mollusca; Bivalvia; Ostreida; Ostreidae.
UUUACUAUUCUAUUUUUAUUUUUUAUUUUUUUAUUUUUUUUGCAAAAUUAUUGGGGCGGCGACCGCCGCCCCUGCCGCCCCUUUCCCGACGCCCCUGUGAGAGUAAAAUCGUUUUAACAUACAUUUUUCACCAGGAAAAAGCUUUCUCGAGUAGGUUUUAAGAACCAGCAACCUGGACUAUUUAAAUAAUGAAUGAAACUCGACAGCUAUUUAAAUCGAUGUAUAUCUCUCUAGUGUGUAUCUAAUUUGACUUGCAUGUGGCAACUUGCCAGAUAUAUAAACUACGUCCAGAACUACGUACAUUUUUAAAAAAAGAAACUCAUAACAGCACAGGACAAAUACGAACUUUUCAAACAUAUUUCAAACGACAUAUCCGUAAUCAAGAUAAUCUUAAAUGGAUUGUGAUGUGAUGGAUCAAUUAAGAUUCAUAAUUCUUACUCUCCGCCAGAAGUAAGGGAAAAUAUAUGGAGAUUUAGUGAAGCAUGAUUAUGUUGGAUCGUAGACAGCUUCGCUUGAUCAUCACUCCAGUGAACAGACUAAACAAUCUUAAAUUAGUAGUACUACUGAUGAGUUUUACGUCUGGAACAGAGUCUCAAUUCAUUAUUCAAUAGUUAAAAAAAAGUAAUGCUUAAAAAAAAUGUCAGCUUGGAAUUAUCGAAAAGCGUUUGAAAUACGAAGUGUAAAGCAUCUUGAAAAUAUAGUGUGUCUUGGUUGUAAUUCAUUUAUUCAAUCAUAAGCAUGUAUACGUGACGGAAUACCAAAAACAGUUACUCCAAGUGAUACAAGGCACAUGAACCUGCUAACGUUAAAUUUUAUUCUAAAUGUCGAGGAAUUUACGCUGCAAACUUUCGCCAGAGUUUACACACAAACCAAAUUUUCCAUGCUGACAUUGUGGGAUAGGAGAUUCCCGCGAACUACUUUUGAUGAAGAUGGUGAUAAGGUCAUCAGAAAGAAAUGGCAUCAGCCUGUUGGUAAUAGGCACACAAUAUCUCUUGCCUCUAAGUAGGAAGUGAUAUUCAAGUUUGUUAACAUCAUAUUCCCGAGGGUUAGGAUAGGCCACAAUAGGAGAUCAAAGUUUUACAUCUGGAGAUACUACUUAACCGGAAAAGACUUCAAGUCAUGAUGAAGUGUAUUUUCAUCAUCUUUGUUAUCGGAAAUAUCUGCAGCAAUACGACUGGAUAUCCCAUACCACCCAAUCAGUCCACAUCAACACCUCUCAUGGUUAAGUACAAUAUUUCAACACCCCACGUGGAUGAGUACAAGACUACUAUACAAAAACCAAAGCUGAAUCUUAGACAUGUUCAGAACAGGAAUUUUUCCAGAUUGAGUAGCCUUUGGGAAUAGUGAUACCUUUAGUUAAUAAUCUAAGAUGACAUGUCAACUGCGUUCUUUAGGGCUGAUCAUUUUCGGCAAGAAAUGCAGAAAUGGAACUGUCAACGCAACGACAGAAAUUGAAAGAGCAGACAAAAUUUCUGAAAACAUAACCAUGAGGAGUGCCAAUAUCUUAACAUUUUCUGUUGACGACUAUAACCCCGCCACUUAUGUUGCCAUAACUGUAUCGUUAAUUGGCAUAAUAAUCGUCUUUCCAACAGUGUGUCUUUGCUUCAUAACCAGUAGCAGCCACCCUCCACUCACUGUGGAGUCGCUUUCAUUGAAAAUUGGAACUGCUGACUAGAGUUUUGUUUGUGUUUCUAAGAAAAUAACAUUUCUAUUUUGACAAUCAACAACCUAUGAUAUCAAUAAAUCAGCCAUUGUUUGUACAAUUAAAUGCUGUCGAGUUGUGUAAAUCAGGAACAUCUUUUUUAUAAGUGUCUGAAUAGAAGAAAAUCAUUUAUAGAGUUUAUACAUACACAUUCAUUGUCAACGUAAAUACUAAUCUCGUAACUUCAAUAUUGAUUUUGAUUACAUUUUUGAGGUUAUCCUCAAUUAUACCAUGUCGCUAUAAGUGUGUAUAUGUCAGAUUCCAUUUCUGAUUCCGUUUCUGGCCCUUUUACCUAUUCCUUAUUGAUUUCGAUUUCGUCUGACACAUAACAUGUCUAUUCUAUUUUAACAUAUCACAUAUUCCAAUUUCACAGGAAAGGGUCACAAAGUGAAUAGAAAUUUUAAAUUUACUCAUUUUUGGUUUUAAAAAUGACGAAUUAGAAGAAUGCGUUUCUUUAGAAAACAAAGUGCAUAUACUUGCCUUAAACUUGCAUAUUUUGUACAACUGUAUCAGCUGCAUUUUUGGUAUAAAAACGAUACAUACACUUUACCUGAAUGUAUCUAGACAUAGGCAGCAAGCUUUAAGAAUAUGAUAAUAUAUUUUAGGGGUAGGGAUCUCAUCCAUUUCAAGAUAUUUUAACAAUUGUAAAAUGAGAGGAUUACUUGACCCAACGGAUACUUGCUCAACCGAACACUGCGUAUAAUUAAACAUAAAUGUUGUGUUCAGAAUAGAAGAAAUUUUGUUUUAGUCAUACAUUGCACACAAUAUUUGAUUAAAAUAAUAUUUCAUGAAUUAUUACACUUGAUAAUAUUAUCACUUUUUUUUCUUUAUAUAGUGUAGCCGCCUGGAAAGUUUAAGAAUAUGUUCCAUUGGAAUUUUGUUUUAUGUAUGCAUCUAUUAAAUGCUUCCUUCACUGUAA